UGGGGAAUAUUGCGCAAUGGAGGAAACUCUGACGCAGCAACGCCGCGUGAGUGAGGAAGGACUUCGGUCUGUAAAGCUCUGUUAAUGUGGAAAAAUGGUAGUUGGUCUAAUAGGCCGAUUAUUUGAUGGUACACAUAGAGGAAGUACCGGCUAACUUCGUGCCAGCAGCCGCGGUAAUACGAAGGGUACAAGCGUUGUUGCGGAUUUAUUGGGCGUAAAGCGCGCGUAGGCGGACCUGCAAGUCAGAUGUGAAAUCUCGGGGCUCAACCUCGAAACUGCGUCUGAAACUACAGGUCUAGAAUCUCGGAGGGGGAAGGGGAAUAUCGCAUGUAGGGGUAAAAUCCGUAGAUAUGCGAUGGAACACCAGAGGCGAAGGCGCCUUCCUGGACGAGUAUUGACGCUGAGGCGCGAAAGCGUGGGGAUCAAACA
Molecule: ribosomal RNA, 429 nt
Filed under: uncultured Bacteriovorax sp.
Lineage: Bacteria; Pseudomonadati; Bdellovibrionota; Bacteriovoracia; Bacteriovoracales; Bacteriovoracaceae
Description: bacterial SSU rRNA
Rfam family: Bacterial small subunit ribosomal RNA
Source: RNAcentral